This 253-nucleotide ribosomal RNA is filed under the name uncultured bacterium. RNAcentral's name for it is "partial 16S ribosomal RNA". It matches the Rfam family "Bacterial small subunit ribosomal RNA", at positions 524 to 776 of the family's 1533-position model. The record is from RNAcentral.
UACAGAGGGUGCGAGCGUUAAUCGGAAUUACUGGGCGUAAAGCGCGCGUAGGCGGCUUUGCAAGUCGGGUGUGAAAUCCCCAGGCUUAACCUGGGAACUGCAUUCGAGACUGCAUUGCUAGAGUAUGGGAGAGGGAAGUGGAAUUUCCGGUGUAGCGGUGAAAUGCGUAGAGAUGUGGAGGAACACCAAUGGCGAAGGCAGCCUUCUGGGCCAACACUGACGCUCAUGCACGAAAGCGUGGGGAGCAAGCAGG